UGGGGAAUUUUGGACAAUGGGGGAAACCCUGAUCCAGCCAUCCCGCGUGUGCGAUGAAGGCCUUCGGGUUGUAAAGCACUUUUGGCAGGAAAGAAACGUCGCGGGUUAAUACCCCGCGGAACUGACGGUACCUGCAGAAUAAGCACCGGCUAACUACGUGCCAGCAGCCGCGGUAAUACGUAGGGUGCAAGCGUUAAUCGGAAUUACUGGGCGUAAAGCGUGCGCAGGCGGUUCGGAAAGAAAGAUGUGAAAUCCCAGAGCUUAACUUUGGAACUGCAUUUUUAAACUACCGGGCUAGAGUGUGUCAGAGGGAGGUGGAAUUCCGCGUGUAGCAGUGAAAUGCGUAGAUAUGCGGAGGAACACCGAUGGCGAAGGCAGCCUCCUGGGAUAACACUGACGCUCAUGCACGAAAGCGUGGGGAGCAAACAGGAUUAGAUACCCUGGUAGUCCACGCCCUAAACGAUGUCAACUAGCUGUUGGGGUCUUCGGACCUUGGUAGCGCAGCUAACGCGUGAAGUUGACCGCCUGGGGAGUACGGUCGCAAGAUUAAAACUCAAAUGAAUUGACGGGG
This 571-nucleotide ribosomal RNA is filed under the name uncultured bacterium. RNAcentral describes it as "partial 16S ribosomal RNA". It matches the Rfam family "Bacterial small subunit ribosomal RNA", at positions 355 to 918 of the family's 1533-position model. The record is from RNAcentral.